Molecule: long non-coding RNA, 456 nt
Filed under: Sorghum bicolor (sorghum)
Lineage: Eukaryota; Viridiplantae; Streptophyta; Magnoliopsida; Poales; Poaceae
Description: long non-coding RNA (SBIC_LNC008029)
Source: RNAcentral
GUAGGACUGGGGCAGGAACGGAAGGCAUCUUUCCAUAGAUCUAGGGAGAAGUUUUCGGCUCUAAAAGGAACUUUGUUUGUCUCUGCGUUUAUCAGAUCGGUGGGAUCUGGGUUUCCUAGCGGGCCAAGACAUUGGAGGUAAGGUUGAUCGGUAGGAAUAAUGAUCUUAUCGGCCAGAUCCUAGAAGUUUUUGAGGGAAAAAAGAAGAACAAAAAGAAAAAGGAAUAUUCAGUAAGACAAAUUGUGGAUGAACAGGAGUACAGUAAAAGUGUAGGAGAAAGGGUGGUAAGCUGACCUCAGGAACGACGAAGUUGAUGGCCAUCUCCUCGCAGGGAAGAAGAUCGAAGACUUGGGGGUUGGUGAAGAAAGACCUUUGUUGAAGUUCUUGGAAUCCUCGGGUAAUGCCGCCGCUGAAAAAGUGGAUUUUGGGCUGUAAAAUGACGAGGUGGAGAAGGAG